UCGGGAAUUUUGUGCAAUGGGCGAAAGCCUGACACAGCAACGCCGCGUGAAGGAUGAAGUAUUUCGGUAUGUAAACUUCGAAAGAAUAGGAAGAAUAAAUGACGGUACUAUUUAUAAGCUCCGGCUAACUACGUGCCAGCAGCCGCGGUAAUACGUAGGGAGCAAGCGUUGUUCGGAUUUACUGGGCGUAAAGGGCGCGUAGGCGGCGCGGUAAGUCACUUGUGAAAUCUCUGAGCUUAACUCAGAACGGCCAAGUGAUACUGCAGUGCUAGAGUGCAAAAGGGGCAAUCGGAAUUCUUGGUGUAGCGGUGAAAUGCGUAGAUAUCGGAAGGAACAUCGGUGGCGAAGGCGUCUACCUGGCCUAAUACUGACACUGAGGCACGAAAGCGUGGGGAGCAAACAGGAUUAGAUACCCCUGUAGUCCCUGAGCGGGCUGGCAAGGCGCAU
RNAcentral lists this ribosomal RNA (447 nucleotides) under uncultured bacterium. Its description in RNAcentral is "bacterial SSU rRNA". It matches the Rfam family "Bacterial small subunit ribosomal RNA", at positions 355 to 825 of the family's 1533-position model. The record is from RNAcentral.